AUUGAACGCUGGCGGUAGGCCUAACACAUGCAAGUCGAACGGCAGCACAGUAAGAGCUUGCUCUUACGGGUGGCGAGUGGCGGACGGGUGCGGAAUACAUCGGAAUCUACUUUUUCGUGGGUGAUAACGUAGGGAAACUUACGCUAAUACCGCAUACGACCUACGGGUGAAAGCAGGGGAUCUUCGGACCUUGCGCGAUUGUAUGAGCCGAUGUCGGAUUAGCUAGUUGGCGGGGUAAAGGCCCACCAAGGCGACGAUCCGUAGCUGGUCUGAGAGGAUGAUCAGCCACACUGGAACUGAGACACGGUCCAGACUCCUACGGGAGGCAGCAGUGGGGAAUAUUGGACAAUGGGCGAAAGCCUGAUCCAGCCAUGCCGCGUGGGUGAAGAAGGCCUUCGGGUUGUAAAGCCCUUUUGUUGGGAAAGAAAAGCAGCAGGUUAAUACCCCGCUGUUCUGACGGUACCAAAAGAAUAAGCACCGGCUAACUUCGUG
RNAcentral lists this ribosomal RNA (492 nucleotides) under uncultured bacterium. RNAcentral's name for it is "partial 16S ribosomal RNA". It matches the Rfam family "Bacterial small subunit ribosomal RNA", at positions 30 to 507 of the family's 1533-position model. The record is from RNAcentral.